AGAUGUGAGAGCAAUCUGGCUGAGACAUCUGUCAGCCUUUGUUCAUCAGCACUGACUCCACGGAUCUGCCUGGUGAGGCAGAUGUCCCCCUCCUUCCCCACAGCUCCAUGUGUAGCCUCCCCUGAGGCUGCACGUGGACAUGCUGCCAGCAAACAGGAGGGGAAGCCAUGGACUUGAGUGAGG
Molecule: small nuclear RNA, 183 nt
Filed under: Heterocephalus glaber (naked mole-rat)
Lineage: Eukaryota; Metazoa; Chordata; Mammalia; Rodentia; Bathyergidae
Description: 7SK RNA
Rfam family: 7SK RNA
About the family: 7SK was discovered as an abundant small nuclear RNA in the mid-70s but a possible function has only recently been suggested. Two independent studies have found that 7SK RNA binds the CDK9/cyclin T complex (known as elongation factor P-TEFb).
Source: Rfam by way of RNAcentral